Pangasianodon gigas (Mekong giant catfish) is the source of this 72-nucleotide non-coding RNA. The record is from the annotation of a GenBank genome assembly. Lineage: Eukaryota; Metazoa; Chordata; Actinopteri; Siluriformes; Pangasiidae.
UCCCUGGAGGACUAGUGGUUAGGCCACCUUGCUCUUACCGCUGUGGCCUGGGUUUGAUUCCUGCCCAGGAAC